Molecule: ribosomal RNA, 253 nt
Filed under: uncultured bacterium
Lineage: Bacteria
Description: partial 16S ribosomal RNA
Rfam family: Bacterial small subunit ribosomal RNA
Source: RNAcentral
UACAGAGGGUGCAAACGUUGUUCGGAAUUACUGGGCAUAAAGCGCACGUAGGCGGCUUCUCUAGUGCGGAGUGAAAUCCCACGGCUCACCCGUGGAACUGCUUCGCAUACUGGGAGGCUGGAGGACGGUAGAGGAGAGCGGAACUCUUGGUGGAGCGGUGAAAUGCGUAGAUAUCAAGAGGAACACCGAAGGCGAAGGCAGCUCUCUGGGCCGUUUCUGACGCUGAGGUGCGAAAGCCAGGGUAGCGAACGGG